This is a long non-coding RNA of Anguilla anguilla (European eel), 3639 nucleotides long. RefSeq lists it as uncharacterized. The record is from RefSeq and is a predicted model, not a curated record. NCBI's taxonomy places the organism in Eukaryota, Metazoa, Chordata, Actinopteri, Anguilliformes, Anguillidae. The transcript is spliced from 4 exons.
CAGGAUGUUACAGAUGUGCCAGUACUUCAAUGCGCAGUAUCCAAUAAAAAGCGCCAGGCGGUCGCGUACAGAUGCGCAAUUUAGAUGUACAGAUGGUGAGGACAGAGCGUGGAGGGAUGGAGGAGAGAGGAGAGGAGAGAGGGACACAGAGAGAGGUGAAUGUGAGCAUGUCUGGUGGUGAGAAGGUUGGAGAGAAUCUGCUUAGACCUCCACACACACAAAGCACAACCUCUGCUGCAACAACUGUCACAUGUUGCCAUGGCACUGAAUCUGAUGCGCUAUGACAACUGCUUCUCUUGGAACAUGGUUGAUGACUGCCUGCUCUCCCUCGUUCACGGCAAACAGGUGUGUCAGUUCAGGGGGGUUCCUGAAGACCUGGCUGCCCUUCUUCCUCCUAUUUGGAGUCAUCCUCACAAUCACCCCGGUGACCUGCGGUGACCCUGCCGGGGGGGGGGGGGCGGGGCUUGGGGCAGGAGAGAGAAGGUGCUGGGCUGUCGAGGCGGCGAACUGAAAAAGCAUCCAGUCACCCAGGAAGCAGGGAGCUGAAGGCUGUGAAGGGACCUUUGGGGUUUCCUCCCCCCCCUGGAGAGGCGCGGGGAACCCAGCUUUUGGAUUGACGGGGGCUGACUAUGAGGCAGGCAGCUUUUCCCAUCAGGAACCCACGAAGCAGUGCUGGAGGACGGAGACCUGCUGACUGUUUUGGCGACUUUUUGAAAUGGUGGGAGAAGAAUGGCCCUGUUGCUUCUCCUCUGAAUUUUACAAUCCCCCCCAACCCCAUUCACCCCACAGGAGAGAAUACUGACAUCACAGUCCAUUGUUAACCCCCUGACCUCUUUUGCACUUUUUGAGCAGGAGGAAACAGGUAGUUAAAAUAUCAGAUCACGUCUGGUUAUAGUUCACUUCGAAAUGAAGCCAUGUAAGAUAACUGUUUAUUCCCCCCCGCCCUACUGUUGGAGCUUCUUUUUUUGACAGGGACAAAUGUUUGCUUUGCACAUGCGUCCAGCCUAACAGUAAACACAGAACAGAAACAAAAUCAUCCAUACGUAAAGCCUUACUAUCUUUAAAGUGUGAAUCGUAAAUACUUGCUGCUAUUGCGUUUACAUCUGAUGUAUAUAUUUUUUACUUUGGAAAGUGGUUCUGUUGGUUGUUGAAUUUAUAAACAUUUUUUUCAAUGAGUAGUGGCGUUAGGUGAAACUGAGAACUAUAGGUGCUGCUGAUGAUUAUUCUUGCUCUUUUUGUAAUUCAGACGAUUGUGUGUUUGUUAUGACAAGUGCACAAAUGUUCCUGACCCCAGAGUACCCCCCAGACGUGAGUGGGAUUGGGGCUUGUUUGGGUUCCCCGGUUGCUCGGUGUCCAGAUGUGCAAACGGGCCCCCCCUUAAAGGCACAGCAGGGGUGUGCACAGCUGGGACGGACCCCCAGAAGAUCCCGCUCAAAAUCCAGGGGAUUUGCGGGUACCCUUUGAUUUCACUGCAAGAGGAACAGAUGCAGGAGUUUUCACGCAAUGAGAGAAAUAUGGCUGGGCUUUUAUUUCCAGUAAGCUUAUUUCCAAAUGAGCAUAUCAGGCAAUUCUGCUGCGUUUGGAUAAUAUCUUUACAUUACAUUUUAUUUUGACAGAUGCUUUUAUCCAAAGCAAUGUACGAUAAGUGAAUACCGAAGGUCUCUUCCAGUAAUAAUCAGUAAUAAAUGACAGAUUAUUAGAUGUUUGUUUGGCAGGAGAGAGUGAUACAAAGGAAGAAUUUGGUAGAAUUUGAGUAAAUGUCGUAGACCAGAGACAGCUGAAGCUAAUACCAGAAUUGUGCAAUAAAUAAAAAGGUCUAAUGUCAGUGCUUUGACUUCUAGGGUCCAUAAAGCUUGUUCGCUCCACUGCACUGACUAAUGUUGCUGCUUCUUGUGAGUUACUGUAUUUUAUUUAUUUAUUUUUUUACUCAACUGUAUAUUCUUGAUUCUGGAGCAUGAGCCAUUGUUCAAUGUCAUACAUUAAUAUUAGGAAACACAAUUUACCACAAUUUAAUCAUAAAUUUAAAGAAGCCUUUUCUGAAUCUGCUGCAGUCAGAUUUUUUUUUUUUUUUUUCCUAACACAUUUUAUGUGGUGUUUUGUAAUUGCUGAACAGUGGUCAUGAAAAUCAAUCUUGGCUCAAAUUAGCAUAUUAAAUUUGACAUAGUCUCAGCUUAAACAGCAGGACCCUCUGGAGUGGCUCUGUUGGUGCAGACUGGACCCUGGGGCUGCAGGUUUGAGGCUAGUAGAGCCUAGCCUUUUAUCAUCAGCCAUAGAGGGACACAACUGGGUGCAUACCAUGCUGGUGAUAAACUGCACUGAUAUACUGAACUAUACCAUUUGGUCUUCUGUUGUUCCUGUUAGCUUUCACCAAAGCUGUAUCCUGGUUAACCCAUUCUAUUUGCUGUGACAGAUCCCUUGUAGCAUUUCUACCACAUUCCAUUCUACUGCUACUUUACACCAGUCUGGCCAGUGGAGGAUGGGCUCCCCCUCUAUAGCCGGGUUCCUCUCGAGAUUUCUUCCCAUUGGGGAGUUUUUCUCGCCACCGUUUGAGGGAGUUUUAACCUCAUGUACUUGCUAUUUGGGGGUUCAGGCCUGGUGUUUGCUCUGUUUGCUCUUUUUGCUGUGUUUCUAGCCUUGCUACUUUGUGAAGCGUCUUUGUGACAGUUCUCGGUAAAAAGCACUAUACAAAUAAAAUGUAAUUGAAUUAUAAGUCAGCCAGUGUUCCUUUUGUUGCCAUGACAUUGGUUACUUCCAGUGACAUCAUAAGCCACAAGCUAACGGUUGUUGUCAGAUAGACUAAUGUUGAGGGGGGUAAAUAGCCACAGGGCAGCAGGCCGAUUAACUGAAGGGAGUGCACGCGCUUUGGUUACACUGCUCCUGAUCUACAGAUGUGUUAAGAAGCACAAUUUGUUAUUACAGUUUGGUGGGAAAUGUGCAUUAUAAAAAAAGGUUUGGAUGUAACGGCCGUGCCCCACACGUGACUCAACCCUACAGGCUAUACGUCCUGGGCCCCAGCGUUUUAACUGCCAUCGUGCCGCGCGCAGACACAACUUGUGACCUGUCUCCACUGAGGCUCGCGUGCGUGCUCACGUCAGGGUGACCAUGCGCACAUACAUGUACAUCCGUGUGCGGGUAGAUGUGUGCAUCCGCGCGUGAACGUGUUCUCUGAGAAUGGGGUAAACCGUGCAAGUGGACGCGGGUGAGUAGGUGAGCAUGUAGCUGAGACCUGUUUUGGAUCGCGUGAAUAACGGUAGCCCAUUCUACUAAACUGUCUGAACAUGCUUUCUUUGUAUGUCAUUCAUAUCGUCCAUUUGCUUAAAAUGCUGUAACUGCAGGAAUUAAAUUUGCUAGCAUUACUACCUUUUUGUGCUUCUAAAUUUAGGAGCCCGGGGAGACAGGCAGCUGCAGGCAUUAGCAGGACCCAGUCAUGUCCAGCAGCAAAAAAAACCUUUAUUAUUAUUUUUGAAUACGUCUUUAGUAAGGGGUGUGGGAACGGGCUGGUUAAUUCAGUGAAUUUUUUGCAUCUACUGAUUCUCCUCUAAGAAAGUCCUAUGAAAUUAAAUCGGUUAUAGACGUACCAUGAACCCGAUUGGUUGGUGCCAUCGGCGUCUUCAAACGGUGGUGUUUGAAUUGCUACUG